This is a long non-coding RNA of Etheostoma spectabile (orangethroat darter), 102 nucleotides long. RefSeq lists it as uncharacterized. The transcript has 3 exons. NCBI's taxonomy places the organism in Eukaryota, Metazoa, Chordata, Actinopteri, Perciformes, Percidae. The record is from RefSeq and is a predicted model, not a curated record.
UGGGCUUCCUUUUCUGUCGUUUCACGCACCGGCACCUUUUUAAAAGGAUCGUUUUAGCACCGGUAUCGGAAAAGACCCAAACAAUACCCAACCCUAUUGUAU